GUCCCGCACGAGCGCACCCUCAUCCUUAGUUGCCAUCAUUUAGUUGGGCACUUUAAGGAAACUGCCGGUGAUAAGCCGGAGGAAGGUGGGGAUGACGUCAAGUCCUCAUGGCCCUUACAGGCUGGGCUACACACGUGCUACAAUGGCGGUGACAGUGAGCAGCUAACUCGCAAGAGCAAGCUAAUCUCUAAAAACCGUCUCAGUUCGGAUUGUUCUCUGCAACUCGAGAGCAUGAAGGCGGAAUCGCUAGUAAUCGCGGAUCAGCAUGCCGCGGUGAAUACGUUCCCAGGCCUU
RNAcentral lists this ribosomal RNA (294 nucleotides) under alpha proteobacterium enrichment culture clone otu_A10. Its description in RNAcentral is "partial 16S ribosomal RNA". It matches the Rfam family "Bacterial small subunit ribosomal RNA", at positions 1084 to 1382 of the family's 1533-position model. The record is from RNAcentral. Lineage: Bacteria; Pseudomonadati; Pseudomonadota; Alphaproteobacteria.